RNAcentral lists this ribosomal RNA (468 nucleotides) under uncultured bacterium. RNAcentral describes it as "partial 16S ribosomal RNA". It matches the Rfam family "Bacterial small subunit ribosomal RNA", at positions 28 to 507 of the family's 1533-position model. The record is from RNAcentral.
GACGAACGCUGGCGGCGGGCUUAACACAUGCAAGUCGAACGGAAAGGCACUGCUUUUGUGGGGUGCUCGAGUGGCGAACGGGUGAGUAACACGUGAGUAACCUGCCCUUGACUUUGGGAUAACUUCAGGAAACUGGGGCUAAUACCGGAUAGGAGCUCCUGCUGCAUGGUGGGGGUUGGAAAGUUUCGGCGGUUGGGGAUGGACUCGCGGCUUAUCAGCUUGUUGGUGGGGUAGUGGCUUACCAAGGCUUUGACGGGUAGCCGGCCUGAGAGGGUGACCGGCCACAUUGGGACUGAGAUACGGCCCAGACUCCUACGGGAGGCAGCAGUGGGGAAUAUUGCACAAUGGGCGGAAGCCUGAUGCAGCAACGCCGCGUGCGGGAUGACGGCCUUCGGGUUGUAAACCGCUUUCGCCUGUGACGAAGCGUGAGUGUCGGUAAUGGGUAAAGAAGCACCGGCUAACUACGUG